UACGUAGGGGGCAAGCGUUGUCCGGAUUUACUGGGCGUAAAGGGCGUGCAGGCGGUCUGUUAAGUGCAGGGUGAAAGCUCCCGGCUCAACUGGGAGAGGUCCUUGCAUACUGUCGAUCUCGAGUCCGGGAGAGGUGAGUGGAACUGCGAGUGUAGAGGUGAAAUUCGUAGAUAUUCGCAAGAACACCAGUGGCGAAGGCGGCUCACUGGCCCGGUACUGACGCUGAGGUGCGAAAGCGUGGGGAGCAAACAGG
RNAcentral lists this ribosomal RNA (253 nucleotides) under uncultured bacterium. Its description in RNAcentral is "partial 16S ribosomal RNA". It matches the Rfam family "Bacterial small subunit ribosomal RNA", at positions 524 to 776 of the family's 1533-position model. The record is from RNAcentral.